Molecule: ribosomal RNA, 496 nt
Filed under: uncultured bacterium
Lineage: Bacteria
Description: partial 16S ribosomal RNA
Rfam family: Bacterial small subunit ribosomal RNA
Source: RNAcentral
AUUGAACGCUGGCGGCAUGCCUAACACAUGCAAGUCGCACGCGAAAGGGGGCAACCCUGAGUAGAGUGGCGGGCGGGUGAGUAACGCGUAGGAAUCUACCUGGUAGUGGGGGACAACCCGGUGAAAACCGGGCUAAUACCGCAUACGAUCCACGGAUGAAAGCAGGGGACCGCAAGGCCUUGCGCUAUCAGAUGAGCCUGCGGCGGAUUAGCUAGUUGAUGGGGUAAAGGCCCACCAAGGCGACGAUCCGGAGCUGGUUUGAGAGAACGACCAGCGACACUGGGACUGAGACACGGCCCAGAGUCCUACGGGAGGCAGCAGUGGGGAAUAUUGGACAAUGGGGGCAACCCUGAUCCAGCAAUGCCGCGUGUGUGAAGAAGGCCUUCGGGUUGUAAAGCACUUUCGGUGGGGACAAACAAGGUGGAGCUAACAUCUCCGCCUCUGAUGGUACCCAAAGAAGAAGCACCGGCUAACUCUGUGCCAGCCGCCGCAGUAA